Molecule: non-coding RNA, 73 nt
Organism: Halocaridina rubra (Hawaiian volcano shrimp)
Lineage: Eukaryota; Metazoa; Arthropoda; Malacostraca; Decapoda; Atyidae
Source: the annotation of a GenBank genome assembly
GGCCGUUGUGGCCCAGUGGUAAAGAUCGCGACUUUGAAUCGUCAGGUCGAGGGUUCGAGGCCAUCCACUGUCU